UUAAGAUAAUUCAUAUAAAUUCAAGUCAAAGUAAAAAAAAAAAAAUUUUAAAUAGUCCCGCACAGACCUCUAGCCUACCUUCCGGUCCAGAUAUUCAAAGUGUGUGCAGAGUUCUUACAUGAACCGAAAAGGACACCGAGGCAAAAUUUCACUUUCAUUACUCACUAUUGACU
Long non-coding RNA from Sinocyclocheilus rhinocerous, 173 nucleotides. RefSeq lists it as uncharacterized. The transcript has 3 exons. Lineage: Eukaryota; Metazoa; Chordata; Actinopteri; Cypriniformes; Cyprinidae. The record is from RefSeq and is a predicted model, not a curated record.